Molecule: long non-coding RNA, 595 nt
Filed under: Equus asinus (donkey)
Lineage: Eukaryota; Metazoa; Chordata; Mammalia; Perissodactyla; Equidae
Description: lncRNA (ENSEASG00005037423.1)
Source: RNAcentral
AUUGGCCAAGGGAAAUCAUGUGGCCACACCUUCCUUCGAAAGCGCAGCGCGGGCCGCCCAGCGCUCCUGGACCGGGUGGUGGUGAGGGCGCCAGCGUCUGCCCACAUGCCUGCCCUGCCUGUUCAGCCUGGUGGGAAUCCCCGUCCAGGAGUGCAAGCCGGUGGGAACCAACUGCCUGCUUGAUUUACUUCAUCCUUGAAGUGCUGCCCCAUGGGAAAAGAUGGCCGAGCAUCCUGAGCGGGACACUGUCUUCAUCACGUCUAUUGACCGAAGGUCCCUCGGCCUGCCUUCCAUCCUCGGGGCUGAAGAGAAGAUCUCAGGGCGGGACCAAUCCCACGUCUCGCCAGCCUCCCUGCGUCCCAACCGGAGCCAAAGCAACGUCCCAGGGCCGGAACCGCCCCCUGCCCUCCGGCCUCUGCCGCCCCGGGCCGCCUCGGGUCCCCAGGACUCAUCGCAUUGCACUCUUUAUCCCUGUGUCAGGGCCGCAAGCAGCCCCGUCAGGCUCCGCGCAUCCCUGGCUCCGUCUCCGCCUUGGAUCACAAGACCCCGCGCUCGGCCCUCGGGAUCCACAUCCUCGGCAGCAGGAUCUCCAUCC